Molecule: ribosomal RNA, 404 nt
Filed under: uncultured bacterium
Lineage: Bacteria
Description: bacterial SSU rRNA
Rfam family: Bacterial small subunit ribosomal RNA
Source: RNAcentral
AUUGAACGCUGGCGGCAUGCCUUACACAUGCAAGUCGAACGGCAGCACGGGAGCUUGCUCCUGGUGGCGAGUGGCGAACGGGUGAGUAAUACAUCGGAACGUACCCUGAAGUGGGGGAUAACGUAGCGAAAGUUACGCUAAUACCGCAUAUUCUGUGAGCAGGAAAGAGGGGGGAUCGCAAGACCUCUUGCUUUAGGAGCGGCCGAUGUCGGAUUAGCUAGUUGGUGAGGUAAAAGGCUCACCAAGGCGACGAUCCGUAGCGGGUCUGAGAGGAUGAUCCGCCACACUGGGACUGAGACACGGCCCAGACUCCUACGGGAGGCAGCAGUGGGGAAUUUUGGACAAUGGGCGCAAGCCUGAUCCAGCCAUGCCGCGUGAGUGAAGAAGGCCUUCGGGUUGUAAAG